RNAcentral lists this ribosomal RNA (440 nucleotides) under uncultured bacterium. Its description in RNAcentral is "partial 16S ribosomal RNA". It matches the Rfam family "Bacterial small subunit ribosomal RNA", at positions 338 to 795 of the family's 1533-position model. The record is from RNAcentral.
CCUACGGGUGGCAGCAGUAGGGAAUAUUGCUCAAUGGGGGAAACCCUGAAGCAGCAACGCCGCGUGGAGGAUGAAGGUUUUCGGAUUGUAAACCCCUUUUGUUAGAGAAGAUAAUGACGGUAUCUGACGAAUAAGCACCGGCUAACUCCGUGCCAGCAGCCGCGGUAAUACGGAGGGUGCAAGCGUUACUCGGAAUCACUGGGCGUAAAGAGCGCGUAGGCGGGAUAGCAAGUCAGAUGUGAAAUCCUAUGGCUUAACCAUAGAACUGCAUUUGAAACUGUUAUUCUAGAGUAUGGGAGAGGUAGGUGGAAUUCUUGGUGUAGGGGUAAAAUGCGUAGAUAUCAAGAGGAACACUGAUGGCGAAGGCGACCUGCUAGAACGUAACUGACGCUGAGGCGCGAAAGCGUGGGGAGCAAACAGGAUUAGAUACCCCUGUAGUC